GCUUCAUCCCGUCUGGAGCAGAUCCUGUUUUGGUCCGCAGGGUUGUGACCAGAAAACAAGUCCUGUUGGUCUCCCACCUCAAUCUGACGGAUAUUAUUUUGACACAGUGUUACAUUUCUGGUUCCAGCUAAGAAAGGUGAUGAAAAGUUGCUUUUUAGACAAAAUAAGCCCUUACCCUCAAAGGAAAGUUGCUCCUGAAAUACAAGCAGAAAUCAGUGGAGUCCUGGUUGCUUCCUCUGCAAAUCGGUGAUGGCUUAUACAAAGAACAGUAUUAAAGACUCCGCGGCUGGACGCGGUGGGUCGCGCCUGUAAUCCCAGCACUUUGGGAGACCGAGGUGAGUGGAUCGCCUGAGGUCAGGAGUUCAA
RNAcentral lists this long non-coding RNA (366 nucleotides) under Homo sapiens (human). RNAcentral's name for it is "HSALNT0407591". Lineage: Eukaryota; Metazoa; Chordata; Mammalia; Primates; Hominidae. The record is from RNAcentral.